Molecule: long non-coding RNA, 407 nt
Filed under: Mustela putorius furo (domestic ferret)
Lineage: Eukaryota; Metazoa; Chordata; Mammalia; Carnivora; Mustelidae
Description: lncRNA (ENSMPUG00000031116.1)
Source: RNAcentral
CUGGGCUUGAGCUGUUCUGGGCCUUCUAUUGACAUAGGGAUGAAAGCACAGUGUUUCCCAGACUGACGAGGAGACAAGAUGUCACAGCUGCAGAGAAUCCCGGCAUCUGGCAUCCCAGCUCAGUCACACUGAAGGAUCCCCCCAUUUUGGCAGAAAUCGUUUCCAAGGCUGCUUCCCCCCAAGAGCAGGGGACAUCAAGGAGGCAGUGGAAGCCAAGGGGGGCCCAUUGCCCGUCUUUGCGCGCGCCCCAGCCCACCCCAUCCGAGCCCAGAAACCAGAGAGCUUCGAAGACGCCCGUUCAUUCGGUCUCCAGAAAGCCCAGCUGAGAUCUGUUCUAAUCCACCCGCGUGGAAAGGUUUCCAGUGUGUUUAUCCCGUUGCCAUGGGUUUGCUUUCUGCGUCAGGCAC